Molecule: ribosomal RNA, 279 nt
Filed under: uncultured bacterium
Lineage: Bacteria
Description: partial 16S ribosomal RNA
Rfam family: Bacterial small subunit ribosomal RNA
Source: RNAcentral
UGCCAGCAGCCGCGGUAAUACGAAGGGUGCAAGCGUUGUUCGGAUUUAUUGGGCGUAAAGCGCGCGCAGGCGGAUGCGUAAGUCAGAUGUGAAAUCUCGGGGCUCAACCCCGAAAUUGCGUCUGAAACUACGUAUCUAGAGUCUCGGAGAGGGAAGGGGAAUUUCUUGUGUAGGGGUAAAAUCCGUAGAGAUAAGAAGGAACACCAGUGGCGAAGGCGCCUUCCUGGACGAGUACUGACGCUGAGGCGCGAAAGCGUGGGGAGCAAACAGGAUUAGAUA